AAGUCGUAACAAGGUUUCCGUAGGUGAACCUGCGGAAGGAUCAUUAUUAUUUGGGUCGGGUUUACUUCUUAACAAGAAAUAGACUUUUACCAAAUAAAAUAUAUUUUUACUCCUUUUAGGAGCAAGAUGAACUUAUAUUUAAAACCCACCUCUUUAAAUGUAUAUUUUUUAUUUUAAAUGAUAAUUAAAAGAUCACUUUCAACAACGGAUCUCUUGGCUCUC
Molecule: unclassified non-coding RNA, 222 nt
Filed under: fungal sp.
Lineage: Eukaryota; Fungi
Description: partial internal transcribed spacer region
Rfam family: Eukaryotic small subunit ribosomal RNA (bases 1-46)
Source: RNAcentral